GAAUGUAGGCCAUGCUAGUCGGUACGGAGUCACCACUCGUGGGGGCAUAGCUCAGUAACACGUGCCAACUACCCUUCGGAGCACAAUACCUCGGGAAACUGAGGCUAAUAGUGCAUCGCACAGUUCACCUGGAACGAGAACUGUGUCAAACGUUCCGACGCCGAAGGACGUGGCUGCGGCCGAUUAGGUAGACGGUGGGGUAAUGGCCCACCGUGCCAAUAAUCGGUACGGGUGAUGAGAGUCAGAGCCCGGAGACGGAAUCUGAGACAAGAUUCCGGGCCCUACGGGGYGCAGCAGGCGCGAAACCUUUACACUGCACGGAAGUGCGAUAGGGGAAUCCCAAGUGCGAGAGCAUACUAGCUCUCGCUUUUGUUGACUGUAAGGAGGUCAACGAAUAAGAGCUGGGUAAGACCGGUGCCAGCCGCCGCGGUAAUACCGGCAGCUCGAGUGAUGUCCAAUUUUAUUGGGCCUAAAGCGUCCGUAGCUGGCCAGCCAAGUUCGUCGGGAAAUCCACCUGCCCAACAGGUGGGCGUCCGGCGAAAACUGUCUGGCUUGGAACCGGAAGGCUCAGAGGGUACGUCGAGGGUAGGAGUGAAAUCCCGUAAUCCUCAACGGACCAACGAUGGCGAAAGCACUCUGAGAAGACGGAUUCGACAGUGAGGGACGAAAGCUAGGGA
RNAcentral lists this ribosomal RNA (677 nucleotides) under uncultured archaeon. RNAcentral describes it as "bacterial SSU rRNA". It matches the Rfam family "Archaeal small subunit ribosomal RNA", at positions 42 to 717 of the family's 1478-position model. The record is from RNAcentral.